GCGGGUGUCGCCAAGUGGUAAGGCAGUAGCUUCCCAAGCUACCAUUCGACGGUUCGACGGUUCGAAUCCGUUCACCCGCA
Molecule: transfer RNA, 80 nt
Filed under: Chloroflexota bacterium
Lineage: Bacteria; Bacillati; Chloroflexota
Description: Chloroflexi bacterium (marine metagenome) tRNA-Gly
Rfam family: tRNA
About the family: Transfer RNA (tRNA) molecules are approximately 80 nucleotides in length. Their secondary structure includes four short double-helical elements and three loops (D, anti-codon, and T loops). Further hydrogen bonds mediate the characteristic L-shaped molecular structure. tRNAs have two regions of fundamental functional importance: the anti-codon, which is responsible for specific mRNA codon recognition, and the 3' end, to which the tRNAs corresponding amino acid is attached (by aminoacyl-tRNA synthetases). tRNAs cope with the degeneracy of the genetic code in two manners: having more than one tRNA (with a specific anti-codon) for a particular amino acid; and 'wobble' base-pairing, i.e. permitting non-standard base-pairing at the 3rd anti-codon position.
Source: RNAcentral